This 497-nucleotide ribosomal RNA is filed under the name uncultured bacterium. Its description in RNAcentral is "partial 16S ribosomal RNA". It matches the Rfam family "Bacterial small subunit ribosomal RNA", at positions 28 to 507 of the family's 1533-position model. The record is from RNAcentral.
GAUGAACGCUGGCGGCGUGCCUAAUACAUGCAAGUCGAGCGAACAGAUGAGGAGCUUGCUCCUCUGACGUUAGCGGCGGACGGGUGAGUAACACGUGGAUAACCUACCUAUAAGACUGGGAUAACUUCGGGAAACCGGAGCUAAUACCGGAUAAUAUAUUGAACCGCAUGGUUCAAUAGUGAAAGACGGUUUUGCUGUCACUUAUAGAUGGAUCCGCGCCGCAUUAGCUAGUUGGUAAGGUAACGGCUUACCAAGGCAACGAUGCGUAGCCGACCUGAGAGGGUGAUCGGCCACACUGGAACUGGGACACGGUCCAGACUCCUACGGGAGGCAGCAGUAGGGAAUCUUCCGCAAUGGGCGAAAGCCUGACGGAGCAACGCCGCGUGAGUGAUGAAGGUCUUCGGAUCGUAAAACUCUGUUAUUAGGGAAAAACAAAUGUGUAAGUAACUAUGCACGUCUUGACGGUACCUAAUCAGAAAGCCACGGCUAACUACGUG